GACGAACGCUGGCGGCGUGCUUAACACAUGCAAGUCGAACGGAAAGGCCCUGUCUUUGUGCGGUGCUCGAGUGGCGAACUGGUGAGUAACACUUGAGUAACCUGUCCUUGACUUUGGGAUAACUUCAGGAAACUUGGGCUAUUACCGCAUAGGAGUUCCUGCUGCUUGGUGGGGGUGGGUUAGUUUCGCCGGUUGGGGAUGGACUCGCGGCGUAUCAGCUUGUUGGUGGGGUAGUGGCUUAGCAAGGUCUUGACAGGUAGCCGGGCGGCGCGGGUGACAGGACACAUUGGGAUUGAAAUGCGGCCCAGACUCCUACGGGAGGGAGCGGUGGGGAAUAUAGCAUAAUAGACUGAAGCCUGAUGCAGCAACGCAGCGUGCGGGAUGACGGCAGUCGGGUUGUAAUCCAAUUUCGCCUGUGACGAAGCGUGAGUGACGGUAAUGGGUAAAGAAGCACCGGCUAACUACGUG
Molecule: ribosomal RNA, 468 nt
Filed under: uncultured bacterium
Lineage: Bacteria
Description: partial 16S ribosomal RNA
Rfam family: Bacterial small subunit ribosomal RNA
Source: RNAcentral